Molecule: ribosomal RNA, 745 nt
Filed under: Bacillus sp. (in: firmicutes)
Lineage: Bacteria; Bacillati; Bacillota; Bacilli; Caryophanales; Bacillaceae
Description: bacterial SSU rRNA
Rfam family: Bacterial small subunit ribosomal RNA
Source: RNAcentral
GGAGCUUGCUCCCUGAAGUUAGCGGCGGACGGGUGAGUAACACGUGGGCAACCUGCCUGUAAGACUGGGAUAACUUCGGGAAACCGGAGCUAAUACCGGAUACGUUCUUUCCUCGCAUGAGGAAAGAUGGAAAGACGGUUUCGGCUGUCACUUACAGAUGGGCCCGCGGCGCAUUAGCUAGUUGGUGAGGUAAUGGCUCACCAAGGCCACGAUGCGUAGCCGACCUGAGAGGGUGAUCGGCCACACUGGGACUGAGACACGGCCCAGACUCCUACGGGAGGCAGCAGUAGGGAAUCUUCCGCAAUGGACGAAAGUCUGACGGAGCAACGCCGCGUGAGCGAAGAAGGCCUUCGGGUCGUAAAGCUCUGUUGUUAGGGAAGAACAAGUGCCAGAGUAACUGCUGGCACCUUGACGGUACCUAACCAGAAAGCCACGGCUAACUACGUGCCAGCAGCCGCGGUAAUACGUAGGUGGCAAGCGUUGUCCGGAAUUAUUGGGCGUAAAGCGCGCGCAGGUGGUUCCUUAAGUCUGAUGUGAAAGCCCACGGCUCAACCGUGGAGGGUCAUUGGAAACUGGGGGACUUGAGUGCAGAAGAGGAAAGUGGAAUUCCAAGUGUAGCGGUGAAAUGCGUAGAGAUUUGGAGGAACACCAGUGGCGAAGGCGACUUUCUGGUCUGUAACUGACACUGAGGCGCGAAAGCGUGGGGAGCGAACAGGAUUAGAUACCCUGGUAGUCCACGCCGUAA